RNAcentral lists this ribosomal RNA (674 nucleotides) under Inocybe nitidiuscula. RNAcentral describes it as "eukaryotic LSU rRNA". It matches the Rfam family "Eukaryotic large subunit ribosomal RNA", at positions 1 to 652 of the family's 3401-position model. The record is from RNAcentral. Lineage: Eukaryota; Fungi; Basidiomycota; Agaricomycetes; Agaricales; Inocybaceae. RNAcentral also lists the same sequence under 1 other name.
UUGACCUCAAAUCAGGUAGGACUACCCGCUGAACUUAAGCAUAUCAAUAAGCGGAGGAAAAGAAACUAACAAGGAUUCCCCUAGUAACUGCGAGUGAAGCGGGAAAAGCUCAAAUUUGAAAUCUGGCAGUUCUUUUGACUGUCCGAGUUGUAAUCUAGAGAAGUGUUACCUGUGCUGGACCAUGUACAAGUCUUCUGGAAUGGGGCAUCAUAGAGGGUGAGAAUCCCGUCUUUGACAUGGACUACCAGUGCACUGUGGUGCGCUCUCAAAGAGUCGAGUUGUUUGGGAAUGCAGCUCAAAAUGGGUGGUAAAUGCCAUCUAAAGCUAAAUAUUGGCGAGAGACCGAUAGCGAACAAGUACCGUGAGGGAAAGAUGAAAAGAACUUUGGAAAGAGAGUUAAACAGUACGUGAAAUUGCUGAAAGGGAAACGCUUGAAGUCAGUCACGUUGGCUAGAAAUCAGCCUUGCUUUUGCUUGGUGUACUUUCUGGUUUGAUGGGUCAGCAUCGAUUUCUUUGACCAUUGGAUAAAGUCUUUGGGAAUGUGGCAUCUUUGGAUGUGUUAUAGCCCAUUGUCGCAUAUGAUGGUUGGGAUCGAGGAACUCAGCACGCCGCAAGGCCGGGUUUAUACCACGUUCGUGCUUAGGAUGCUGGCAUAAUGGCUUUAAUCGACCCGU